GAUGAAGAACGUAGCGAAAUGCGAUAAGUAAUGUGAAUUGCAGAAUUCAGUGAAUCAUCGAAUCUUUGAACGCAUCUUGCGCUCCUUGGUAUUCCGAGGAGCAUGCCUGUUUGAGUGUCAUUUAACUUAUCAACCACAUUGGAUAUUUUUUUUCCGAUGCCGGCUUGGAUGUGGGGGUUGUUUGCAGGCUUUUUGUAACAAAAAAGGUCGGCUCCCCUGAAAUGUAUUAGUGGUAUCUGAGGCUAUUACUAUUAGGUGUGAUAAUUAUCUAUGCCUUUUGGGUAUGCCGCAUGAACAGAUUAUGCUGCUUCUAACGAAAACUAUUUUGAUGAAUUUGACCUCAAAUCAGGUAGGACUACCCGCUGAACUUAAGCAUAUCAAUAAGCGGAGGA
RNAcentral lists this unclassified non-coding RNA (392 nucleotides) under soil metagenome. RNAcentral's name for it is "partial contains 5.8S ribosomal RNA, internal transcribed spacer 2, and large subunit ribosomal RNA". The stretch from base 1 to 120 matches the Rfam family "5.8S ribosomal RNA", at positions 35 to 154 of the family's 154-position model. The record is from RNAcentral.